Rattus norvegicus (Norway rat) is the source of this 133-nucleotide small nucleolar RNA. Ensembl annotates it as predicted gene, 25617. Lineage: Eukaryota; Metazoa; Chordata; Mammalia; Rodentia; Muridae. The record is from Ensembl.
CCUGCCCCUAGAGGCACUGCAGGUGUGGCUGCUGUGUCACAUGUGCGUCAGUAGGUGGCAGAGAGGAAAGAGGCUAUGUCUACGCUCAGUGUUCUGACCUGUGAACAUUUGAAUGAUUAGUAGCCUAAUAUUC